CCUACGGGCGGCAGCAGUCGAGAAUCAUUCACAAUGGGGGAAACCCUGAUGGUGCGACGCCGCGUGGGGGAAUGAAGGUCUUCGGAUUGUACACCCCUGUCAUGUGGGCGCAAAUUAAAAUGAUAGUACCACAAGAGGAAGAGCCUGCUAACUCUGUGCCAGCAGCCGCGGUAAUACAGAGGUCUCAAGCGUUGUUCGGAAUCACUGGUCGUAAAGCGUGCGUAGGCUGGUUCGUAAGGCGUGUGUGAAAGGCGCGGGCUCAACCCGAGGACGGCACAUGAUACUGCGAGACUAGAGUAAAGGAGGGGGAACCGGAAUUCGCGGUGUAGCAGUGAAAUGCGUAGAUAUCGAGAGGAACCCUCGUGGCGAAGGCGGGUUCCUGGACAGUAACUGACGCUGAGGCACGAAGGCCAGGGGAGCGAAAGGGAUUAGAUACCCUUGUAGUC
This 446-nucleotide ribosomal RNA is filed under the name uncultured bacterium. RNAcentral describes it as "partial 16S ribosomal RNA". It matches the Rfam family "Bacterial small subunit ribosomal RNA", at positions 338 to 795 of the family's 1533-position model. The record is from RNAcentral.